This is a long non-coding RNA of Cyprinodon variegatus (sheepshead minnow), 1539 nucleotides long. RefSeq lists it as uncharacterized. NCBI's taxonomy places the organism in Eukaryota, Metazoa, Chordata, Actinopteri, Cyprinodontiformes, Cyprinodontidae. The record is from RefSeq and is a predicted model, not a curated record. The transcript is spliced from 4 exons.
CAAACUGAAUAAAUUUUGCUCCUCACAUGGACUCAAGCUUAUUAGGUUGCUCUCUUGCUAUGGUGGCACCGACCAAAAAUCGGGGAGCAUGACCCACUUUUUAGGAGUUACCAGUCAUAACAUCAAGAAACAUUUGACUUUGGCCUGAAGUCCUACUUACAAAUCUCAGGUAAAAUCUGGCUGAGAUGAACAUCAACCAAGAGGGAUCUGGAUGACGGUGGAUACGCUUCUUUUUAACCCGUUAAGGUCACACCUGAGGAGAAUCAAGUCAUCCAACAGAGAAGAAUGAGAGCUGUGGAUAUGGAUUCAUAUGAGAGAAACAAAUUCUAAUGAGGAUUUUUAACAUAUUCAUGAAAGUUAAUUCAGUUGCACGCCCCCUUACACACAUAGACUGCUGAAGAUAAACACCAACUCCACAGUGAACUGAUGGACAAGAAAGACAAGAUGGAUGGAUAGCUCAUCAAGUUAAACAUGAGAAACUUUGUUCUUCAGUCACAUUCAUUGUCAGCUUCUCUGUUAUAAAUCGUCUUUAGAUUUUAUUUAAAACAUAAAAGUAGUUUUUAUCUUUUAAUAAUACCAAGAGAAUUAUUUAUGAGUCCCUCUGAUUCAAUGUUGAUAUGAAUAGAGUCGCAAAGUUUAUGAACCUCUGCAAACAGUUUAUUGAGGCAGCUGAAAACUAAAUGGUCAACACAGAUUUGGAAAAUGAUAAUACUGUACAGAAAGUUUUUAAGCUGUAAAAUUUGACAGUGAUGGAAUUAAUCCAAUCCAUCCAAUGAUGAUUUAUUAAAAAAGUCAUUAAAGUGGAACUACUUUCAUAUUUGGAAUAAUUAAACUGUAUUGAUGAAAAUAGUUCAUGGUAAAUGUUUACAGUUCAACCCACAGUUGGAUAAAUGAAAUAUGGCAAAACCCAGCUCCAUUCAACUGACCAUUAAAAGUUUUAUAUUCUCAGUGCUUUAUGUUUUACUCCCAAGUCUUAUUUGGACCUUUUGUUCUAGUCUGUAGAGAAGGAAUCAUGAACUAUCUUCUAUGUAUAAAAACGGAACUGCAUUGCGUCAUGACGAACAUGAGACCGCUGUAGACUACGACUAAUGAGCUAAGCAUUUAGCCAGUCACAGCCUGGAUAGAAUAUUUACCCAUCAUAUUUUCAAGGUUAUCUCAGUCUUGUUUUAGAUUAAUAUUGAUCACUGACCUUGUUCAUUUUGAAUUGCUCCAGGCAAAAAGCCUAACUCUGCCCAAUCCUAAGUACAUUGUUAUUUUAAUGCAAUAACUUUCUCAUAAAAAUCUGUUAUUCAAUCAAUAUACCAAAACAGCAAGGAUUUACUUUAUGUUGCUAGUGAAGACCACUUGUUAGUUGUGAGCUACAACCUUGUUGCCAUAGUAACAUCAAAAGAGUAAUGGGACAGCAGUGCACAAAGCAUUUUCUAUUGUUUUAUGGUGUCACAAUAACUCCACUGUUAUUCUAAGGUACACUAGGAGUUCUAUAACUUAACUAAUUCUUAAUCAUAUUGAGUUACUUUAACACAAUUGUUUUAUGUCCUA